UACGGAGGGUGCGAGCGUUAAUCGGAAUUACUGGGCGUAAAGCGCACGUAGGUGGUUCGUUAAGUCGGAUGUGAAAUCCCUGGGCUCAACCUGGGAGCUGCAUUCGAUACUGGCGGACUCGAGUACGAGAGAGGGGGGUGGAAUUCCAGGUGUAGCGGUGAAAUGCGUAGGUAUAGGAAGGAACACCAGUGGCGAAGGCGACUACCUGGACUGAUACUGACACUGAGGUGCGAAAGCGUGGGGAGCAAACAGGAUUAGAAACCCCUGUAGU
Molecule: ribosomal RNA, 271 nt
Filed under: uncultured bacterium
Lineage: Bacteria
Description: partial 16S ribosomal RNA
Rfam family: Bacterial small subunit ribosomal RNA
Source: RNAcentral